UAGGUGAAGCUUUGGUGUUGAAGCUUUGUAGGUGAAGCUUUGUUGGGUACCAUGAAUUGAUUUUGCUUCACACUAUCUUGAUCAAGAUAUUGUGAAGCUUUUAUAGGUGAAGCUUUUGUGUUGAAGCUUUGGAGUUGAAGCUUUGUAGGUGAAGCUUUGGAGUUGAAGCUUUUGUUGGGUACCAUGAAUUGAUUUUGCUUUACACCAUCUUGAUCAAGAUAGUGUGAAGCUUUUGAGAAUUUGUAGUUGUCCUCCAUUGAUGAAGCUUUUAUUGGUGAAACUUUGGAGUUGAAGCUUUUGUUGGUGAAACUUUGGAGUUGAAGCUUUUGUUGGUGAAGCUUUUAUAGGUGAAGCUUUUGUUGGGUACCAUGAAUUGAUUUUGCUUCACACUAUCUUGAUCAAGAUAGUGUGAAGCUUUUGAGAAUUUGUAGUUGUUCUCCAUUGAUGAAGCUUUUAUUGGUGAAGCCUUGUUGGGUACCAUGAAUUGAUUUUGCUUCACACCAUCUUGAUCAAGAUAGUGUGAAGCUUUUGAAAAUGUGUAGUUGUCCUCCAUUGAUGAAGCUUUGUUGAAUUUCCCUUCUUCUUUUUUCUUUUAGGAAACUAGAAAUUUGAAAAUGUGGGAGAGACAACAUAUACAAAUUUUGCUUCCAUACUGUUGAGCAAGAGAUUAUGAUGUAAGCUACACCUUGUAGUAGUCGAAGGUUUGGAUGAACCUUAUAAAUUGAAUUUGCUUCGAACAGUCUUGAAUUUGCUUCGAAUGUUUGAGAAUUGUAGUUGCCCUCCAUUGAUGAAGCUUUUGUUAGCACCAUAAAUUGGUUUUGCUUCACACUGUCUUGAUUAAGAGUGUGUGAAGCUUUUGAGAAUUGUGGUUGAACUCCAUUGAUGAAGCUCUUGUUGGCACCAUAAAUUGGUUUUGCUUCACACUGUCUUGAUCAACAGUGUGUGAAGUUUUUGAGAAUUGUGGUUGAACUUCUUUGAUGAAGCUCUUGUUGGCACUAUAAAUUGGUUUUGCUUCACACUGUCUUGAUCAAUAGUGUGUGAAGCUUUUGAGAAUUGUG
Molecule: long non-coding RNA, 1058 nt
Filed under: Malus domestica (apple)
Lineage: Eukaryota; Viridiplantae; Streptophyta; Magnoliopsida; Rosales; Rosaceae
Description: long non-coding RNA (MDOM_LNC014819)
Source: RNAcentral